Molecule: ribosomal RNA, 414 nt
Filed under: uncultured microorganism
Description: bacterial SSU rRNA
Rfam family: Archaeal small subunit ribosomal RNA
Source: RNAcentral
CAGCCGCCGCGGUAAUACCGGCGGCCCGAGUGGCGGCCACUAUUAUUGGGCUUAAAGCGUCCGUAGCCGGGUUGGUUAGUCUCCCGGGAAAUCUGGCCGCUUAACGGUCAGAAUUCCGGGAGAUACUGCCAGCCUAGGGACCGGGAGAGGCCGAGGGUAUUCCCGGAGUAGGGGUGAAAUCCUAUAAUCCCAGGGGGACCGCCAGUGGCGAAGGCGCCCCGCUGGAACGGGUCCGACGGUGAGGGACGAAGGCCAGGGGAGCAAACCGGAUUAGAUACCCGGGUAGUCCUGGCUGUAAAGGAUGCGGGCUAGGUGUCGGGUGAGCUGCGGGCUCGCCCGGUGCCGGAGGGAAGCCGUUAAGACCGCCGCCUGGGGAGUACGGCCGCAAGGCUGAAACUUAAAGGAAUUGGCGGG